Molecule: long non-coding RNA, 1360 nt
Filed under: Phoenix dactylifera (date palm)
Lineage: Eukaryota; Viridiplantae; Streptophyta; Magnoliopsida; Arecales; Arecaceae
Description: long non-coding RNA (PDAC_LNC001176)
Source: RNAcentral
GCUCCCCUCCUCGCUCUCUUCCACGCUUUCCUUCUCUUCCCUUCAUUCUUCUUCUUCUUCUUCAUUCUUUUUCUUCUUCUUUCUUUGCAGGCUCUGCUCCUCUCUAAACUCCCACUAUUUCCCAUGCCUCAUCUCCAUUUUCUUAUGGAAGCGAGGUUCUUGAAACCUCCAAAUCUUCCAUCAACAAAGACCCUGCUUUGGAUCCCUCACAUCAGCCUUGGACGUGAAGAAACCUCUCGCCAGCCCUCGCUUCACCGGCGCGGCCAGGUUUGCAUCCUUAUUUCUCCUCUUGCUUCGCUUUUUCUAUUGCUCGUCUGAGAUAUUUCUUCUCGAACAUCUGUUUCAAAUCUUAAAAGUUUGUUCUUCCUGUUGCAUAAUGCCUUUUGAUCUCAUUUAUGUUUUUUUCUUUCUUGCGGAUGAUUCAGGAGGCUUUGUGUGGCGAAACUAUUCGCAUGAAUGGAAUUUUAUCGUUGAACUCCUGCAGCGUUCGGUGCGGAGGAAGUAAUGGAUUCUUGUCAACUUUUUGUGCACCCCUUAGUUUCUUCAGAAUCUUGCUCGCAAUCGAAUUUUUGAGUGCUGGCAGAUGAAGGUUCGGUGAUCAUCCGACGGCAGGCGGCGGGGAGAGGUGCAGCAAGCAUGGAUGUGGCCAAGGGACGUCCGAAGAAACGAGGCAUGAGCAAAGGAUGGGAUGUCCAGAACCUGCGAAAGCUGCAGUGAGAACCCUGGAAGCAGGCUUAAUCAUGACGACGACUAAUGCGGUAAUGCCAACAUCAUGCUUAAUAAAAUAUCUCUUUUUUGUAAGAAAAAAAAUCGUAAGGAGCUAAUGUUUUCCUUGUGCUAAUGAUUUAUUUAUCCGCAGGUAGAAGAUUCAAAGGAUUGGUCAGAGUGAAAGCCCAAUCAGGUAUCUGACCGAAGUGGUCAUGUAAUUCCCAUGCAUUAUUUCCGGCAAGUCCUGCUUGUAACUGCAAUCUAUCAACCAAGCUCGGACCUUCCACCAGCCAGCGAGGUCAGCCAAUGCCGGAGCUCAGUUUUUGUAGAUCAUCCAUGGAUCAAGCUUCACUGUGAUUUGGAUGUCAUGAGUUCGGAACACAAAAACAAACCCUUCCUUAUACGGGAAGAAGACUGCAUACAUUUGAUCCUCCACAGACAAUUAACGCAAUAGCGGCACUAGUGCAACUUUUUUUUUAUAUUGAUAUUGUCAAUUAGAAUAUUUAAUGAGGGUGGAGCAAAUGAGUCUUCUUGUAAAAGUUAUAUAUAAUCCAGCUGUUGAACUAAUUUGUAUUGCACAAAAGCUGUUCUUUUUAUAUUUGAUGUAAUCCAAGUGUUUAUGUGGCAUUUUGCAUGCAAAUGAAUUUAAAAG